RNAcentral lists this long non-coding RNA (3038 nucleotides) under Anolis carolinensis (green anole). RNAcentral describes it as "lncRNA (ENSACAG00000043117.1)". The record is from RNAcentral. Lineage: Eukaryota; Metazoa; Chordata; Lepidosauria; Squamata; Anolidae.
UCUAUUGUGGUAACACAAAGUGCAGUGCCAUUUAUGUAUCUUACCUUUGAUACUUAUGGAAUUGAAUAUUGGUUGAGCCAAAUAAUAUUCCUGGAUAUUUUCAAAACAUAUUAAGUUCCAUAAACCUGUAUCAGACUACCUGGCAGGUCUUCCUCUUUCUGUUUCUCUGCUGCCCUAAAACUAUUAUGCAUUCCUGUUUAUGUUUUUUAAAAAUAAUAUUAAGCCAUCUUGGAACAUUCUUGUAAUAGAAUUGCUGAAAUGCUUUAAAUAUCUGAAAAUUUGAUGAUUAGUUGGAUGUCUGAAAACCAGCAUGGUUGUUUCCAAGUUCAGCAAACCUGUUAGAGAACCUUUAUUUCAUUUUUAAAGCACUUCCUUGUGGACUGUUCACAUAUCUGCAAAAGAAAUUUAACAAUAGCAGCAGCAACAACAUAUGGCAGGGAACAACAAUGUGACUGGCAGCUACUUUAUCUCUGCUUCCUACAAGUGGAACAGGAUAGUAUGCUAUUGGCACUUGGCCAUUGUGGCUAGCCUUGUACUAAGGUUAAAAUUCAGUUUUAUUUGAGUGCUUAGAAAGUCCAAGUAAGCCAAUAGGAAACAUGCACCUUUCCAGCAACCUCCUCCUUUAGGAAUAGGUGUUUAUCCCAUUGACAAGCAGACUGACACACCCCCGUGAUCCUUUUGUAACUGCUGCAUUAGCAGAGGAUCAGGUAGCACUUAAUGGGUGCAGACCAUCAUAAAACAUGUUUGAAAAGGUCGGGGCCCUCCUGGAGGGAGAAUAUUUGUGGCACUCUGACAUAAGCUUUGGCUGCUCAUUCACAACAGCUCAUUUGGACAUUUCCAGGCAAAACAACAUAAUGUUGCUUCAGGGACCUCAGAAGGAUCAGCUGCAAGUCUCAGUUUAAGACAAGGACUGUGCUUGACCAGGCUUUCUGUCACAAAGGUACUCAGCAACCAAUGUGCAACAACUUCCUUCAGCAGUCUUGUAAAAGUUCUCAAAUCGCCCUGCACUAUGUUAUGGUCCCUGCUGGGGCUUCCUUCUGUGAAGUGCACAGAAAUCUGGCAGACAGAUGGCACAUAAGUAUGUACUAGACAGAGGUUUUAAAUAAGAUAUAAUUUCACAGACUUAAUGACUGCAACAUGGAUUUUUUUUAACAUUAAGUAUAUUUGCUAAUUGCUGCCAUUUCAUUUUGGAACAGAUUUUUCCUUUCAGAUAGUUUUGCAUCAUAUACGUGUGUGUGUGUGUGUGUGUGUGUGUGUGUGUGUGUGUGUGUGUGUGUGUAAGUUGACUUUAUAUAUAAGUCAAGGGCAGAUUUGGUGUCAAGAUUAGGGAUUUUAUAAGUCAAAGGUCAUCCUGCAGAGAGGGGAGACCACACAUGUCACCCCAGGGCAUCAGCUGUCAUGGCCUCUCCUGCCAUUUUCUACCCAGGUGUUCAAAAAGACCAGAAGCUGCACUACAGCAGAAGGAGUAGAAGAGGUCAGUUCUUUUUUUAGGCCUCCCAGGAUGGACAAAGCUCUCUUUCCAGGCAUUUUGGACAAGGAAUACUUAACUUGUCAUUAGAGAAGACUUUGCCUAUUAUUUUGUUUAAAAAAAAAGUAAGAAAAUACAAGCCAUACUGAAGUCUGAAAGAUUCUGUAAGUGCUGUUUACUUUAAUCUCCAGUAAGAGGCAAGGGAACUCAGGGAUGGUGCUGACUGAUAGCUCCAUUGGAAACCAUUGCAUCAUGCUAUAGCAAUGAUGCUUUUUUGACUAGAGUCCAAGUCAUCCACAGGCUGGAGUAAUAGCUCACUGUCCAGUCUCAGACAAGCAUGUGGUGUCUCCAGAGGAAUCUAAUGCUUGUAACUAACAUGACUCCUCCCAUGUCAUAAAUGGUUACUUUACAUCCAAGCUGGCAUUAAAGUGCAGGGUUGAAACCUCAUCUAUUUGAGCUCUAAAUGGGCUUUGCAUCUGUGCAGGAUAUCAGAGAUCACUAACCAAUGUUGUGUUCUAUUUAAUUUCAAACAAGAGCUAGUAAUUAGUUCCCCACCCCACCCCACCCUUGAGUCUUGCCCAUAAUUCUUUUGUGAUUUCUUUGAUGAAGUAUUGAAGAUUUCAUGCUCUGAAAUAAAAAAUAUAACGAUUUUCAUUAUUUUAAAACUGUAGAGAAACAGGUUUUUGCCUCUGCCUCCCUUUGAAAAUUAUUUGCACAAUAAGCCUAACGGGAUCACAGUAUUAGAGGGAGCACUGUAGGUCACUGCUCCAAAUGUAUUUAUUUACAGUGGAGUGGAGUUCUAGGUAAAUUGUUACAUUAUUGAAUUACUUUUGCUCUUAAUAUAUUUCCCUUAAGGCUUACCCAAAAAUCUGACUUUCUGUAACUUAACCUCAUCCAACCUGUUUAGAGCAGAAAAUAGCUAGUCUUUGCUCAUUUCUGUGUGAAAGCAUUUUGGGUAUUUGAAGAUCCUGAUGUUUUUGCCCAGUCUUUUCCAGUUAUCCAGUUCUUUCAGUCUUUCCUGCUGAACUUUUUACUUUUUUCACACCAAUUGCCAGCUUUAUCAAUUUGUCUACAGCCUCCUUAAAGCUGUACAUCCAGAAUGAGGCAUGCUGCCCCAGAUGAGUAAUGCAGAAUAGGUUUUUCCUGAUGUGAACAUUAUGGUCGAGUAGGAGAGCUAAAAAUGAUAUAAGCCUUUUUAUACCUGUCCUGUUUCAAACUGCUAUCUUACGUUCCACUUUUGAAAGAUUACAAAAAUGUGUUUUAUAUGUACUGCACCUUCCUAAAUACUGGAUUUCCUCCCCAUCAUAAUUUUCAAGAUAAUGUUGCACUGUUAACUUUCAGCAUUCUUUGCUAUCGUAUAGAGCUUCUGGAAAUUACAAUCCCUCUCUCAUUAUACAUAUGACUUUAGUUUUAGCAAAUCUGAAAAAUUAAAAUGUUCUGCCCAGUUCUCAUUCAGGUACAUUUACUUUCAUUGUUCCUUUGGCUUUAUCUCUCCAAGAGAUAUAAGGUUUUAUCCCAUAGAUAGCUAACCUGAAACACUGGAUCACCUGUUGUCACAGAUUAUGGUUGC